CGCUGGCGGCGUGCCUAAUACAUGCAAGUCGAACGGUCUUUCUAUGGAAGCUUGCUUCCACUGAGAAGAUAGUGGCGAACGGGUGAGUAACACGUGGGUAACCUGCCCAUAAGAGGGGGAUAACAUCCGGAAACGGGUGCUAAUACCGCAUAGUUUUCUUGAUCACAUGAUUGAGAAGGAAAGACGGCCUUUGUGCUGUCGCUUAUGGAUGGACCCGCGGCGUAUUAGUUAGUUGGUGAGGUAACGGCUCACCAAGACGAUGAUACGUAGCCGACCUGAGAGGGUGAUCGGCCACAUUGGGACUGAGACACGGCCCAAACUCCUACGGGAGGCAGCAGUAGGGAAUCUUCCGCAAUGGACGAAAGUCUGACGGAGCAACGCCGCGUGAGUGAAGAAAGGUUUUCGGAUCGUAAAACUCUGUUGUCAGAGAAGAACAAGUUGGAGAGUAACUGCUCCAGCCUUGACGGUAUCUGACCAGAAAGCCACGGCUAACUACGUGCCAGCAGCGGC
RNAcentral lists this ribosomal RNA (510 nucleotides) under uncultured bacterium. RNAcentral's name for it is "bacterial SSU rRNA". It matches the Rfam family "Bacterial small subunit ribosomal RNA", at positions 34 to 518 of the family's 1533-position model. The record is from RNAcentral.